CAGAUACUAAUAAUAAACCACUGGACAGGCACUAAUAAUAAACCACUGGACAGGUACUAAUAAUAAACCAGGUACUACUAAUAAACCACUGGACGGGUACUAAUGAUAAACCCCGGGACAGGUACUAAUUAUAACCCAGGUUCUAAUAUUAAACCACUGGACAGGUUCUAAUAAUAAACCACGAGACAGGCACUAAUAUUAAACCAGGUACUAAUAAUAAACCACGAGACAGGCACUAAUACUAAACCAGGUUCUAAAAUAAACCACUGGACAGGUACUAAUAAUAAACCACGAGACAGGCACUAAUAAUAAACCAGGUACUAAUAAGAAACCAGGCACAAAUAAUAAACCAGGUACUAAUAAUAAACCAGGUACUAAUAAUAAACCACUGGACGCGUACUAAUAAUAAUCCAGGCUCUAAUAAUAAACCAGGUACUAAUAAUAAACCGGGUACUGAUAAUAAACCACUGGACAGGUACUAAUAAUAAACCAGGUACUAAUAAUAAACCACUGGACAGGUACUAAUAAU
Oncorhynchus tshawytscha (Chinook salmon) is the source of this 529-nucleotide long non-coding RNA. The record is from Ensembl. NCBI's taxonomy places the organism in Eukaryota, Metazoa, Chordata, Actinopteri, Salmoniformes, Salmonidae.